Molecule: ribosomal RNA, 253 nt
Filed under: uncultured bacterium
Lineage: Bacteria
Description: partial 16S ribosomal RNA
Rfam family: Bacterial small subunit ribosomal RNA
Source: RNAcentral
UACGUAGGGUGCGAGCGUUAAUCGGAAUUACUGGGCGUAAAGCGUGCGCAGGCGGUUCGUUGUGUCGGUGGUGAAAUCCCCGGGCUUAACCUGGGAAUGGCCAUGGAAACUGGCGAACUGGAGUGCGGCAGAGGGGGGUGGAAUUCCGCGUGUAGCAGUGAAAUGCGUCGAGAUGCGGAGGAACACCGAUGGCGAAGGCAGCCCCCUGGGCUAGCACUGACGCUCAGGCACGAAAGCGUGGGGAGCAAACAGG